GAUGAACGCUAGCUACAGGCUUAACACAUUCAGGUCGAGGGGUAACGAGAGGAAAGCUUGCUUUCCUUGUCGACGACCGGCGCACGGGUGAGUAACGCGUAUCCAACCUGCCCCCAACUAGGGAAUAACCUUGCGAAAGUAAGACUACUACCCUAUAAUUUCCUCAGAUGUCAUCUGACGAGGAAUAAAGAUUUAUCGGUGGUGGAUGGGGAUGCGUCUGAUUAGCUUGUUGGCGGGGUAACGGCCCACCAAGGCAACGAUCAGUAGGGGUUCUGGGAAGAAGGUCCCCCACAUUGGAACUGAGACACGGGCCAAACUCCUACGGGAGGGAGCAGUGAGGAAUAUUGGUCAAUGGGCGGAAGCUUGAACCAGCCAAGUAGCAUGCAGGAUGACGGCCCUAUGGGUUGUAAACUGCUUUUAUACAGGAAUAAAGUUGGCCACGUGUGGUUAUUUGUAGGUACUGUAUGAAUAAGGACCGGCUAAUUCCGUGCCAGCCGCCGCCGUAA
This 506-nucleotide ribosomal RNA is filed under the name uncultured bacterium. RNAcentral describes it as "partial 16S ribosomal RNA". It matches the Rfam family "Bacterial small subunit ribosomal RNA", at positions 28 to 523 of the family's 1533-position model. The record is from RNAcentral.